RNAcentral lists this ribosomal RNA (795 nucleotides) under uncultured Pedobacter sp. RNAcentral's name for it is "bacterial SSU rRNA". It matches the Rfam family "Bacterial small subunit ribosomal RNA", at positions 45 to 839 of the family's 1533-position model. The record is from RNAcentral. Lineage: Bacteria; Pseudomonadati; Bacteroidota; Sphingobacteriia; Sphingobacteriales; Sphingobacteriaceae.
GGCCUAACACAUGCAAGUCGAGGGGUAGAGUUAGCUUGCUAGCUUGAGACCGGCGCACGGGUGCGUAACGCGUAUGCAACCUACCUUAAUCAGGGGGAUAGCCCGAAGAAAUUCGGAUUAACACCGCAUAAAAUCACAGAAUAGCAUUAUUCAAUGAUCAAAUAUUUAUAGGAUUAAGAUGGGCAUGCGUGUCAUUAGCUAGUUGGCGGGGUAACGGCCCACCAAGGCGACGAUGACUAGGGGAUCUGAGAGGAUGACCCCCCACACUGGUACUGAGACACGGACCAGACUCCUACGGGAGGCAGCAGUAAGGAAUAUUGGUCAAUGGAGGCAACUCUGAACCAGCCAUGCCGCGUGCAGGAAGACUGCCCUAUGGGUUGUAAACUGCUUUUAUCUGGGAAUAAACCUAUUUACGUGUAAAUAGCUGAAUGUACCAGAAGAAUAAGGAUCGGCUAACUCCGUGCCAGCAGCCGCGGUAAUACGGAGGAUCCAAGCGUUAUCCGGAUUUAUUGGGUUUAAAGGGUGCGUAGGCGGCCUGUUAAGUCAGAGGUGAAAGACGGUAGCUCAACUAUCGCAGUGCCUUUGAUACUGAUGGGCUUGAAUGGACUAGAGGUAGGCGGAAUGAGACAAGUAGCGGUGAAAUGCAUAGAUAUGUCUCAGAACACCGAUUGCGAAGGCAGCUUACUAUGGUUUUAUUGACGCUGAGGCACGAAAGCGUGGGGAUCAAACAGGAUUAGAUACCCUGGUAGUCCACGCCCUAAACGAUGAACACUCGCUGUUGGCGAUACACAGUCA